This 213-nucleotide unclassified non-coding RNA is filed under the name Hevea brasiliensis (rubber tree). The record is from RNAcentral. Lineage: Eukaryota; Viridiplantae; Streptophyta; Magnoliopsida; Malpighiales; Euphorbiaceae.
GACCGCACUGACUGGACAGCCAAACGUGAAGACGCUCAACCCCUCAUCAUGAACGUCCACGAGAGGACCAACAGAGGGUUUGCAGGCGAGUGGGGACGCUCAAGAGACUCCAAGUUCGUAAACUUUCUCCGCUUCCAAGCCCCCUGUGUUUUAUCAAACAGUGUGGAAUUCGUCAACAAGAAGGGUGUCAAGCAGUACUUCUCUGCCUUGUUU